This 285-nucleotide unclassified non-coding RNA is filed under the name fungal sp. RNAcentral's name for it is "partial internal transcribed spacer region". The stretch from base 1 to 46 matches the Rfam family "Eukaryotic small subunit ribosomal RNA", at positions 1786 to 1831 of the family's 1831-position model. The record is from RNAcentral. Lineage: Eukaryota; Fungi.
AAGUCGUAACAAGGUUUCCGUAGGUGAACCUGCGGAAGGAUCAUUAGUGAACUGUAUUGAGAGCUCGUAAGGGUUUUCUUUCUUGUGAACUGGUUGUUGAUUGGCUAUUUUUGAAUGGCAGGAAUGUGUGCGCUUUUUUCUUUGUUUGGGGUUUACUGUUUGGAAUGAGAGAAAGCAGCAGCACACGGCUUGCCAUUCAAAAAUACCGGUCGGCAAUUUACUGUUUGUCAUUUUUUUGAUUUUUAUUCAAUAAGACAACUUUCAGCAAUGGAUCUCUUGGCUCUU